GUGCUGUAGGUGUCUGAUUGGCCGGGGAGCGAACCAAUGGGCUGAGACAUCUCUGGGUUACCUGCAGGAAAGGUCCAUGCUCAGUUCUGGUCACCUCACUACAGGAAGGAUGUGGAAGCCAUAGAAAGGGUGCAGAGGAGAUUUACAAGCAUGUUGCCUGGACUGGGGAGCAUGCCUUAUGAAAACAGGUUGAGUGAACUCGGCCUUUUCUUCUUGGAGCAAUGGAGGAUGAGAGGUGACCUGACAGAGGAAAUAAGUGCAUUUGGUGAGAAUGGAGAAGGAGAUGACUUGGAUGUCUGGACUGUACAGUGCAGUGGCAUGAGACGGGAGCAUAAUGAUGAUGUUUGCUUCAAGCAAGUAGGAACCCAGGUCUUUCUAACCAUAACAGAAGAGCAGUAUGGCCAUCCAAUCAGGGGUCAGCUUGAAGUUCAUGGCACAUUUAACCCUAGUGAGCCAUUAAAACAUAAUGACUUGUAGCUUAUUUUAAAGAUUACCUGGGGAUUACCUGAGGCCAGUUAGAAAUUGUUGCAUAGUUUGCAAAUGACAAUUGCUUCAUCCUGUCUGGA
Molecule: long non-coding RNA, 566 nt
Organism: Hypanus sabinus (Atlantic stingray)
Lineage: Eukaryota; Metazoa; Chordata; Chondrichthyes; Myliobatiformes; Dasyatidae
Exons: 3
Source: RefSeq, a predicted model, not a curated record